UCGAUUUAAUUUGAAUUAUAAAAUUUAUUUAUAUUUAAAAUUUAAAUUAAAUUUUUAAUAAAAGUAUUUUUUUUUUUUUAUAAAUUUAGAUAAAAUUAUUUUAAUUAUAGUUAAUUAUGUAUAGUGAUAGAAUAUUGAAAUAAAUUUGAAAAUUAAAAUAUUUAAAAGAAAAUUUAAAUUAUUGUACCUUGUGUGUCAGGGUUUAUUAAAUAAUAUUUAUAUAUAUUAAUUUUCUCGAAUUUAAAAGAGUUAAGAAAUUAUAAAUUUUAUUGUAAAAUAAAUAUUUAAAAUAAUUUUUUAGUAAUGAAACGUUAUUCGUUUUUAAAUUUAUCUAGUUUUUUAAGAAAUAAAUUUAAUUUAGUUAUUAAUUUUUAUAUAAAUUAUUAUUAAUUUAAAUAAAAUUAGUAAUUAAUAUUUUAAGGGAUAAGCUUUAAAAUAAAUUUUGAAAAAUAAAAAUUUAAAUUUAAAAUUUAUAGAAUUGAAAGUAUUAAUUUUAUUAGUGUGUUAUAACAAAUUUUAGAUUAUUUAUAAUUUUUAUAUUAUUUUCAAUUUUUUAUUAAAAUUAUUAAUUUAAUUAAAUAAUUAAUGUAAUAAUGAUAGAAUUAGUAUAAUUUAUUGUUUAAUAGAAUUAUUAUAUCAAGGUUAAAUUAAGGAACUCGGCAAAUAAAUUUUCCGCCUGUUUAAUAAAAACAUGUCUUUUUGAUAAUAAUUUAAAGUCUGACCUGCCCUAUGAUUAGUUUUAAAUGGCCGCGAUAAUUUGAUCGUGCAAAGGUAGCAUAAUAAUUAGUUUCUUAAUUAGGAACUGGUAUGAAAGGUCGAACGAGAAAAAAGCUGUCUCAAUUUAAUUUAAAUUAGAAUUUUAUUAUUAAGUUAAAAAGCUUAAAUACUUUUAAAAGACGAGAAGACCCUAUAGAGUUUUAUAUUUAUUUAAUUAUUUUUAAUUUUAGAAUUUUUUUUAUAAAAUUUUUUUUAUAAAUAUUUAGUUGGGGUGAUUGGAAAAUUUAAUAAACUUUUCUUAAUAGAUAUAACAUUAAUAAAUGAUUUUAUGAUCCAUAUUUUAUGAUUAAAAGAUUAAAUUACCUUAGGGAUAACAGCGUAAUUUUUUUUGAGAGUUCUUAUCGAAAAAAAAGUUUGCGACCUCGAUGUUGGAUUAAAAUAAACUUUUGGUGUAGAAGCUAAAUAUGUUGGGUCUGUUCGACCUUUAAAAUUUUACAUGAUCUGAGUUUAAACCGGUGUAAGCCAGGUUGGUUUCUAUCUUUAAAAAUAUAAAAUAUUUUAGUACGAAAGGAUCAAAUAUUUAUUAUAAUAAUUUAAUUAAGAAUAUUAUUAAUUUAUAAAAAAUUACUUUGGCAGAAUAGUGCUUU
Molecule: ribosomal RNA, 1364 nt
Filed under: Onthophagus crassicollis
Lineage: Eukaryota; Metazoa; Arthropoda; Insecta; Coleoptera; Scarabaeidae
Description: 16S ribosomal RNA
Rfam family: Archaeal large subunit ribosomal RNA (bases 1087-1246)
Source: RNAcentral